AUCAUGCAGUCGAGCGAACAGAAGGGAGCUUGCUCCCGGAUGUUAGCGGCGGACGGGUGAGUAACACGUGGGUAACCUGCCUGUAAGACUGGGAUAACUCCGGGAAACCGGAGCUAAUACCGGAUAGUUCCUUGAACCGCAUGGUUCAAGGAUGAAAGACGGUUUCGGCUGUCACUUACAGAUGGACCCGCGGCGCAUUAGCUAGUUGGUGGGGUAAUGGCUCACCAAGGCGACGAUGCGUAGCCGACCUGAGAGGGUGAUCGGCCACACUGGGACUGAGACACGGCCCAGACUCCUACGGGAGGCAGCAGUAGGGAAUCUUCCGCAAUGGACGAAAGUCUGACGGAGCAACGCCGCGUGAGUGAUGAAGGUUUUCGGAUCGUAAAGCUCUGUUGUUAGGGAAGAACAAGUGCGAGAGUAACUGCUCGCACCUUGACGGUACCUAACCAGAAAGCCACGGCUAACUACGUGCCAGCAGCCGCGGUAAUACGUNAGGUGGCAAGCGUUGUCCGGAAUUAUUGGGCGUAAAGGGCUCGCAGGCGGUUUCUUAAGUCUGAUGUGAAAGCCCCCGGCUCAACCGGGGAGGGUCAUUGGAAACUGGGAAACUUGAGUGCAGAAGAGGAGAGUGGAAUUCCACGUGUAGCGGUGAAAUGCGUAGAGAUGUGGAGGAACACCAGUGGCGAAGGCGACUCUCUGGUCUGUAACUGACGCUGAGGAGCGAAAGCGUGGGGAGCGAACAGGAUUAGAUACCCUGGUAGUCCACGCCGUAAACGAUGAGUGCUAAGUGUUAGGGGGUUUCCGCCCCUUAGUGCUGCAGCUAACGCAUUAAGCACUCCGCCUGGGGAGUACGGUCGCAAGACUGAAACUCAAAGGAAUUGACGGGGGCCCGCACAAGCGGUGGAGCAUGUGGUUUAAUUCNGAAGCAACGCGAAGAACCUUACCAGGUCUUGACAUCCUCUGACAACCCUAGAGAUAGGGCUUUCCCUUCGGGGACAGAGUGACAGGUGGUGCAUGGUUGUCGUCAGCUCGUGUCGUGAGAUGUUGGGUUAAGUCCCGCAACGAGCGCAACCCUUGAUCUUAGUUGCCAGCAUUUAGUUGGGCACUCUAAGGUGACUGCCGGUGACAAACCGGAGGAAGGUGGGGAUGACGUCAAAUCAUCAUGCCCCUUAUGACCUGGGCUACACACGUGCUACAAUGGACAGAACAAAGGGCUGCGAGACCGCAAGGUUUAGCCAAUCCCAUAAAUCUGUUCUCAGUUCGGAUCGCAGUCUGCAACUCGACUGCGUGAAGCUGGAAUCGCUAGUAAUCGCGGAUCAGCAUGCCGCGGUGAAUACGUUCCCGGGCCUUGUACACACCGCCCGUCACACCACGAGAGUUUGUAACACCCGAAGUCGGUGAGGUAACCUUAUGAGCCGCCGCGA
RNAcentral lists this ribosomal RNA (1421 nucleotides) under Bacillus pumilus. RNAcentral describes it as "bacterial SSU rRNA". It matches the Rfam family "Bacterial small subunit ribosomal RNA". Lineage: Bacteria; Bacillati; Bacillota; Bacilli; Caryophanales; Bacillaceae. The record is from RNAcentral.